GGGGAUCUGCCCGAUAGAGGGGGAUAACCACUGGAAACGGUGGCUAAUACCGCAUAACGUCGCAAGACCAAAGAGGGGGACCUUCGGGCCUCUCACUAUCGGAUGAACCCAGAUGGGAUUAGCUAGUAGGCGGGGUAAUGGCCCACCUAGGCGACGAUCCCUAGCUGGUCUGAGAGGAUGACCAGCCACACUGGAACUGAGACACGGUCCAGACUCCUACGGGAGGCAGCAGUGGGGAAUAUUGCACAAUGGGCGCAAGCCUGAUGCAGCCAUGCCGCGUGUAUGAAGAAGGCCUUCGGGUUGUAAAGUACUUUCAGCGGGGAGGAAGGCGGUGCGGUUAAUAACCGCGCCGAUUGACGUUACCCGCAGAAGAAGCACCGGCUAACUCCGUGCCAGCAGCCGCGGUAAUACGGAGGGUGCAAGCGUUAAUCGGAAUUACUGGGCGUAAAGCGCACGCAGGCGGUCUGUUAAGUCAGAUGUGAGAUCCCCGGGCUUAACCUGGGAACUGCAUUUGAAACUGGCAGGCUUGAGUCUCGUAGAGGGGGGUAGAAUUCCAGGU
RNAcentral lists this ribosomal RNA (559 nucleotides) under uncultured bacterium. Its description in RNAcentral is "bacterial SSU rRNA". It matches the Rfam family "Bacterial small subunit ribosomal RNA", at positions 120 to 674 of the family's 1533-position model. The record is from RNAcentral.